RNAcentral lists this ribosomal RNA (229 nucleotides) under Haptolina ericina. RNAcentral describes it as "partial Bacterial large subunit ribosomal RNA". It matches the Rfam family "Bacterial large subunit ribosomal RNA", at positions 1290 to 1522 of the family's 2925-position model. The record is from RNAcentral. Lineage: Eukaryota; Haptophyta; Prymnesiales; Prymnesiaceae.
GAAAAUGUAGGCAUAAGUAACGAUAAUGCGGGCGAGAAACCCGCACACCGAAAGACUAAGGUUUCCUCAGCGAUGCUAAUCAGCUGAGGGUUAGUCGGGUCCUAAGGCGAAUCCGAAGGGAGUAGUCGAUGGAUAACAGGUUAAUAUUCCUGUACUUCUUAUAAUUGCGAUGGGGUGACGGAGUAUUGAAAGCACCGCGUACUGACGGAAUAGUACGUUAAAGACUGUA